UACAGAGGGCUCAAGCGUUGUUCGGAUUCAUUGGGCGUAAAGGGUGCGUAGGCGGCGAGGUAAGUCGGGUGUGAAAUCUCGGGGCUUAACUCCGAAACUGCAUUCGAUACUGCCGUGCUUGAGGACUGGAGAGGAGACUGGAAUUUACGGUGUAGCGGUGAAAUGCGCAGAUAUCAGGAGGAACACCGAUGGCGAAGGCAGGUCUCUGGGCCGAGACUGACGCUGAGGAGCGAAAGCGUGGGGAGCGAACAGG
RNAcentral lists this ribosomal RNA (253 nucleotides) under uncultured bacterium. Its description in RNAcentral is "partial 16S ribosomal RNA". It matches the Rfam family "Bacterial small subunit ribosomal RNA", at positions 524 to 776 of the family's 1533-position model. The record is from RNAcentral.